UGAAGUGGAAUCUUUCUACAAUCUAGAGACUCUAAUUUAAUCAAAGCAAAGGUGGGGAUUUCAUUUGGUGUAGCAGUUGCUGCUGCAAUAAAAGUGGUAAAAGAAGGCUCAAUGAUAGAAAACUCAUUGUUGUCAAAGCUGAUUGAUUGUGUUAUGUGGAAUCUACAACUGUAUAGGAACCUUGCUCUUCUAUAGUUUUAGAGUUAAGAUGAGGACAAUUUCCAUGUGCUUUUCCAUCUUGCAAGUUCCUAGAUGUAGAAUCCCCACCUUAGCUACUUUUUGGAGGGAAAGCUUCCACAAUUUGAGUAGGACUGACAAAAUCAGUUCUAGCUUUAGGCUACUUGGUUCUAAUAUCCAUGGGCUUGAGAGAGGUUACAAUAGAAAAUGGAGUCGAAGUCCUAUAUUUACAAAAAAGUGAUACAUUUAGUGUUAAUAAGACAGAGAUUAGUCAAUUCCACAAUACUGAAUAUUGUGAAUCAUAAGAUUCACUUCCUAUAGAUUAUUGAAAUAAAACAAAAAAUAUAUAUGACUACCUUCAAAAGAAUA
This is a long non-coding RNA of Quercus lobata, 546 nucleotides long. RefSeq lists it as uncharacterized. Lineage: Eukaryota; Viridiplantae; Streptophyta; Magnoliopsida; Fagales; Fagaceae. The transcript has 3 exons. The record is from RefSeq and is a predicted model, not a curated record.